RNAcentral lists this ribosomal RNA (497 nucleotides) under uncultured bacterium. Its description in RNAcentral is "partial 16S ribosomal RNA". It matches the Rfam family "Bacterial small subunit ribosomal RNA", at positions 28 to 507 of the family's 1533-position model. The record is from RNAcentral.
GAUGAACGCUGGCGGCGUGCCUAAUACAUGCAAGUCGAGCGAACAGACGAGGAGCUUGCUCCUCUGACGUUAGCGGCGGACGGGUGAGUAACACGUGGAUAACCUACCUAUAAGACUGGGAUAACUUCGGGAAACCGGAGCUAAUACCGGAUAAUAUAUUGCACCGCAUGGUUCAAUAGUGAAAGACGGUUUUGCGGUCACUUAUAGAUGGAUCCACGCCGCAGUAGCUAGUUGGUAAGGUAACGGCUUACCAAGGGGACGAUGCGUAGCCGACGUGAGAGGGUGAUCGGCCACACUGGAACUGAGACACGGUCCAGGCUCCUACGGGAGGCAGCAGUAGGGAAUCUUCCGCAAUGGGCGAGAGCCUGACGGAGCAACGCCGCGUGAGUGAUGAAGGUCUUCGGAUCGUAAAACUCUGUUAUUAGGGAAGAACAAAUGUGUAAGUAACUAUGCACGUCUUGACGGUACCUAAUCAGAAAGCCACGGCUAACUACGUG